RNAcentral lists this non-coding RNA (202 nucleotides) under Clostridia bacterium. Its description in RNAcentral is "6S RNA". It matches the Rfam family "6S / SsrS RNA". Rfam says of the family: E. coli 6S RNA was the first non coding RNA to be sequenced, but its function was unknown until recently. It consists of 184 nucleotides that fold into an extended hairpin structure with a large single-stranded internal bulge. The 6S RNA specifically associates with RNA polymerase holoenzyme containing the sigma70 specificity factor. RNAcentral also lists the same sequence under 1 other name. The record is from RNAcentral. Lineage: Bacteria; Bacillati; Bacillota; Clostridia.
GUCUCCCUGCGGGGUGCGUGACGGAUCCACUUAAACCCACAUUAUAACUCAGGGACGCUGUACUUCAUCUGCCGAUUGCAGGCCUCCCGCCCAAAGCAACGACUUUGCGUGGACGUUGGAAGCAGUGAAUCAGAUGAGAGGCGACCCACCUGCCGUUUCGUGCAGGUUAUAAUUGGGUCCGCACGGCUUUCGCGGGGAGAUU